CAAAUCGACCGCCCAGAUGCCAAUCUUCGCCUACCAUCCAGCGGGGUCGUCUGUGGGGGGAUUUUGCGUGAAUGAGAUGUCGUAACAGGAGCGCGCGGUGUUACACCCGCGGCGGGGUCCAUCUUAUCAUAAACGACGCCGUCACCCAGUGGGGCCCCCCACAAAGUUUCUUCGUCGAGGGUCACGCUCCCGGGCGCGAUGCAGCCCCGGAUCCAGCCGCCCGCCUGAGGGACCAACCAAACUCUUUCUGUAGUCCCCUCGCGGACGUUAUUUCUUCCAGCUCUGAGCAAAAAUUCAAAAUGAAUCAAAACUUUCAACAACGGAUCUCUUGGUUCUGGCAUCGAUGAAGAACGCAGCGAAAUGCGAUAAGUAAUGUGAAUUGCAGAAUUCAGUGAAUCAUCGAAUCUUUGAACGCACAUUGCGCCCGCCAGUAUUCUGGCGGGCAUGCCUGUCCGAGCGUCAUUUCAACCCUCGAACCCCUCCGGGGGGUCGGCGUUGGGGAUCGGGAACCCCUAAGACGGGGUCCCGGCCCCGAAAUACAGUGGCGGUCUCGCCGCAGCCUCUCCUGCGCAGUAGUUUGCACAACUCGCACCGGGAGCGCGGCGCGUCCACGUCCGUAAAACACCCAACUUUCUGAAAUGUUGACCUCGGAUCAGGUAGGAAUACCCGCUGAACUUAAGCAUAUCAAUAAGCGGAGGA
This 699-nucleotide ribosomal RNA is filed under the name uncultured Trichoderma. Its description in RNAcentral is "eukaryotic LSU rRNA". The stretch from base 309 to 462 matches the Rfam family "5.8S ribosomal RNA". The record is from RNAcentral. Lineage: Eukaryota; Fungi; Ascomycota; Sordariomycetes; Hypocreales; Hypocreaceae.